RNAcentral lists this non-coding RNA (240 nucleotides) under Limosilactobacillus frumenti. RNAcentral describes it as "Lactobacillus frumenti T-box sequence". It matches the Rfam family "T-box leader". Rfam says of the family: Uncharged tRNA acts as the effector for transcription antitermination of genes in the T-box leader family. T-boxes are found upstream of many aminoacyl-tRNA synthetase genes and some amino acid biosynthetic genes usually in Gram-positive bacteria. The anticodon of a specific tRNA base pairs to a specifier sequence within the T-box motif, and the NCCA acceptor tail of the tRNA base pairs to a conserved bulge in the T-box antiterminator hairpin. Lineage: Bacteria; Bacillati; Bacillota; Bacilli; Lactobacillales; Lactobacillaceae. The record is from RNAcentral.
UGAAACACAGUGAAUAGGAGAGUAAUUUUCUUAUCAUUACGCAGCGAGCCUAAGUAAGUGCAAGUUAGGCAAAUGAUAAUUAAACGAAAGUAGCCUAUGAGUGACUAGGGCGACAUUGAGGAGUCUUAGUCGGGAGCGCCCGUUACAGCGCCAACGUAUCUGAUUUAUCAUGUACGGGGUAAGGUAUCACUAGUGAUGGUGGUAUGAAUAAAGGUGGUAACACGCGCAAGCGUCCUUUUU